GAUGAACGCUGGCGGCGUGCCUAAUACAUGCAAGUCUAGCGAACAGACGAGGAGCUUGCUCCUCUGACGUCAGCGGCGGACGGGUGAGUAACACGUGGAUAACCUACCUAUAAGACUGGGAUAACUUCGGGAAACCGGAGCUAAUACCGGAUAAUAUAUUGAACCGCAUGGUUCAAUAGUGAAAGACGGUUUUGCUGUCACUUAUAGAUGGAUCCGCGCCGCAUUAGCUAGUUGGUAAGGUAACGGCUUACCAAGGCAACGAUGCGUAGCCGACCUGAGAGGGUGAUCGGCCACACUGGAACUGAGACACGGUCCAGACUCCUACGGGAGGCAGCAGUAGGGAAUCUUCCGCAAUGGGCGAAAGCCUGACGGAGCAACGCCGCGUGAGUGAUGAAGGUCUUCGGAUCGUAAAACUCUGUUAUUAGGGAAGAACAAAUGUGUAAGUAACUAUGCACGUCUUGACGGUACCUAAUCAGAAAGCCACGGCUAACUACGUG
RNAcentral lists this ribosomal RNA (497 nucleotides) under uncultured bacterium. RNAcentral's name for it is "partial 16S ribosomal RNA". It matches the Rfam family "Bacterial small subunit ribosomal RNA", at positions 28 to 507 of the family's 1533-position model. The record is from RNAcentral.